Molecule: ribosomal RNA, 253 nt
Filed under: uncultured bacterium
Lineage: Bacteria
Description: partial 16S ribosomal RNA
Rfam family: Bacterial small subunit ribosomal RNA
Source: RNAcentral
UACGUAGGUGGCAAGCGUUGUCCGGAUUUACUGGGCGUAAAGGGUAUGCAGGCGGAUAUUUAAGUAGGAAGUGAAAGGUUGGAGCUCAACUCCAACACUGCUUCCUAUACUGGGUGUCUUGAGUGGCGGAGAGGAAGAUGGAACUCCAUGUGUAGCGGUGAAAUGCGUAGAUAUAUGGAGGAACACCAAUGGCGAAAGCAAUCUUCUGGACGCAAACUGACGCUGAGAUACGAAAGCUAUGGUAGCGAACAGG